Long non-coding RNA from Raphanus sativus (radish), 661 nucleotides. RefSeq lists it as uncharacterized. NCBI's taxonomy places the organism in Eukaryota, Viridiplantae, Streptophyta, Magnoliopsida, Brassicales, Brassicaceae. The record is from RefSeq and is a predicted model, not a curated record. The transcript is spliced from 3 exons.
AUAGUAAUAGCGUAAAUUUUGGGUAAACUACUCAAUAUUUGUUUCUGGUAAUUCUUGUGUGCCUAAACCCUAAGUUGCCUGACUAUAUAUGACCUUCUAAACUCAUUUACUCAGCAUCAUUACCAACCAAGUUCGAACCGGUAUGCAAUCUAACAAAAAAUGAGUUCUAUGCACUCAAUAUCUGAGUUGAAACAUUUCAAAGGUGAAAAAGAGAUGUAAAAAGUUUUUGGAAGCAAUACUAGGCUAAAGGAGGACAAAAUGCGACAUUUAAAAAGGUUUUGGUUUCUUAGUUUGAUCCUUUUCUGAAACAAGGAUAAAAAGGAUUUGAUUUCUCUUUUUGAUUCAAAUAUAUAAGCAGGUGACUUCAAAUAGACGAGGAGCUUCAUGUUCUCACAUUUUGUUUGACCCUGAACUCCUAGAAAUAGAAGCCUUCAAAAACAAGAUACCAAGAAGAGCCUUUUCAUGUGAGUUGCAUAUUAAUUCGAAUUUUAUUUUGGUUUUCAGUUUCUGAAUAAUAAAGCCUUUGCAACGUAUCGUUCAUAUUUUGAUUUGUACCAUUGUUGUUUUUAGCAUUUGAUCUUAAGAUUCUAAUUGAUGAACUAUGUACCGUUUAAAUUAUCUUGCCAGGACUAAACUAUUGAAAGCGUUAUUUUUAGUUAUU